This 403-nucleotide ribosomal RNA is filed under the name uncultured bacterium. Its description in RNAcentral is "partial 16S ribosomal RNA". It matches the Rfam family "Bacterial small subunit ribosomal RNA", at positions 29 to 526 of the family's 1533-position model. The record is from RNAcentral.
AUUGAACGCUGGCGGCAGGCCUAACACAUGCAAGUCGAGCGCGCGGGGGACGGGUGAGUAAUGUAUGGGGGCUGCCCGAGAGAGGGGGGUAACUACUGGAAACGGGAUCUAAUACCGCAUACUAUCGGAUAACCCCUAGGGGGUUAGCUAGGCGGUGAGGUAAUGGCUCACCGGGGCGCCGAUCCCUAGCUGGUCUGAGAGGAUGAUCAGCCACACUGGGACUGAGACACGGCCCAGACUCCUACGGAGGCAGCAGUGGGGAAUAGUGCACAAUGGGCGCAAGCCUGAUGCAGCCAUGCCGCGUGUAUGAAGAAGGCCCUAGGGUUGUAAAGUACUUUCAGCCGGGAGGCGUUACCGACAGAAGAAGCACCGGCUAACUCCGUGCCAGCAGCCGCGGUAAUAC